RNAcentral lists this ribosomal RNA (468 nucleotides) under uncultured bacterium. Its description in RNAcentral is "partial 16S ribosomal RNA". It matches the Rfam family "Bacterial small subunit ribosomal RNA", at positions 28 to 507 of the family's 1533-position model. The record is from RNAcentral.
GAUGAACGCUGGCGGCGUGCUUAACACAUGCAAGUCGAACGGUGAAGGCGGAGCUUGCUCUGCUGGAUCAGUGGCGAACGGGUGAGUAACACGUGAGCAAUCUGCCCCUGACUCUGGGAUAAGCGCUGGAAACGGCGUCUAAUACUGGAUACGAGCUGCGAAGGCAUCUUCAGCAGCUGGAAAGAACUUCGGUCAGGGAUGAGCUCGCGGCCUAUCAGCUUGUUGGUGAGGUAACGGCUCACCAAGGCGUCGACGGGUAGCCGGCCUGAGAGGGUGACCGGCCACACUAGGACGGGGACACGACCCAGACUCGUACGGGAGGGAACGGUGGAGAAUAGUACACAAUGGGCGAGAGCCUGAUGCAGCAACGCCGCGUGGGGGACGACGGCCUGCGGGUUGUAAACCUCUGUUAGCAGGGAAGGAGCGAAAGUGACGGUACCUGCAGAAAAAGCGCCGGCUAACUACGUG